This 1256-nucleotide long non-coding RNA is filed under the name Ailuropoda melanoleuca (giant panda). RNAcentral's name for it is "lncRNA (ENSAMEG00000028688.1)". Lineage: Eukaryota; Metazoa; Chordata; Mammalia; Carnivora; Ursidae. The record is from RNAcentral.
AGGCCGGAGAGGCGGGCCCCGCCCAGCGCGGGCCGCUGGCUGUCAGUGUUGCCGCGCCCAGCGGCAGGUCCCCGCGGUCGCAGCGUCCCCGCCUGCCCGCCGCGCUAAGCCCAGCGGGCGGCCAGGUGUCCUGCGGGCGGCGUCCCCGCGCUACCAGCCGCCUCCCCACGGCGGGCAGCGGGCGCGUGUGCGCUGGUGUGCGUUUCGGGGAUAGUUUCCUCCCCACGCCCUGCGGGGUUUCUCCUCUGCCCUCCCUGCUUCGGCUCCUGCUGCCUGAACCAUGUCCGCAAGGGUUCAGCAGUUCAAGUGAGAUCUUGUCAUGGUUUCCAGUGUCUACUAAAGCCUACUAAGUGAUUAAUUUCAGGUAACGCUCUUCCUAAAUUUUGAGAAUAUGUAAAGAAAGCAAUCGCAAAAUAUGGACAGCAGUUACCAAUAUCACUCAUGUCCUCUUUCUACUUCAUUCUAUGUAUCAUGGCUAUUAAUUUUCUACAACUUGGCCUUGAUUGUAUGGCUUCCCUAUCAAAAGCUUCCAUGACCCCCAUUACCUCUUGAAUUAUCUUUCGAUUCCUCCACUACUGUAUUCAAGGCUCCUUUGUGAUAACUACCAGAAUGUUUUAACUUUUUGGAGGGAAGGGAUGAAUUUAUUGGGCAUGCCUAAGCGUUGAGCAAAGGAGAGAGACAGGCACGCACAGCAGAAAACGACUUUCAGAUUAAUUAAUUUUCUGUAGCUUGAUUGCAUGAUUGCAGUGGCCUCCUUAUUGCUUCUUGAAUUGCCUUCAGAUUCUUCUCACAUGGCAUUCAAGGCUCUUCGUGACCUGGAUAGCCCACUUCACUUUUCUGUCUCUGAAACCUUUGGUUAGGUCAAGCUAGACUGUUCAUCUUUUCCAAACACAACUAUGCUUUUGACUCUGUUUCCACCUGGAAUGCCCUUUUUUUUUUUUUUUUUACCAGUUUCUGACAAAAUGGUGACUGUUUUUUUAAGGUCCAUUUUAUAUGAUAUGAAGACUUUUCUUUUGAGAGAGACCUCCUCUGCUUUUUUGGUCUCCUGAGUAACAAUCUUCCUUGCAUUAUGAAGAUUUAUGUGCUUAUUUUAAUUGUAUUCCUUGUAGUUAGAAAGGAAACUUUUUUUUUUUAAGUAGAUUCCACAUCCAGCAUGGAGCCCAUUGUGGGGCUUGAACUCAUGGCCCUGAGAUCAAGACCUGCACUGAAAUCGAGAGUUGAACACUUAACCGACUAAGCAACCCCGGUGCUCCUAG